This 492-nucleotide ribosomal RNA is filed under the name uncultured bacterium. RNAcentral's name for it is "partial 16S ribosomal RNA". It matches the Rfam family "Bacterial small subunit ribosomal RNA", at positions 29 to 507 of the family's 1533-position model. The record is from RNAcentral.
AGUGAACGCUGGCGGUAGGCCUAACACAUGCAAGUCGAACGGCAGCACAGUAAGAGCUUGCUCUUACGGGUGGCGAGUGGCGGACGGGUGAGGAAUACAUCGGAAUCUACUUUUUCGUGGGGGAUAACGUAGGGAAACUUACGCUAAUACCGCAUACGACCUACGGGUGAAAGCAGGGGAUCUUCGGACCUUGCGCGAAUGAAUGAGCCGAUGUCGGAUUAGCUAGUUGGCGGGGUAAAGGCCCACCAAGGCGACGAUCCGUAGCCGGUCUGGGAGGAUGAUCGGCCACACUGGAACUGAGACACGGUCCAGACUCCUACGGGAGGCAGCAGUGGGGAAUAUUGGACAAUGGGCGCAAGCCUGAUCCAGCCAUACCGCGUGGGUGAAGAAGGCCUUCGGGUUGUAAAGACCUUUUGUUGGGAAAGAAAAGCAGCAGGUUAAUACCCAGCUGUUCUGACGGUACCCAAAGAAUAAGCACCGGCUAACUUCGUG